GCCUGGGUAGCUCAGUCGGUAGAGUGUCAGUCUUUUAAUCUGAGGGUCAAGGGUUCAAGUCCCUGUUCAGGUG
RNAcentral lists this transfer RNA (73 nucleotides) under Canis lupus familiaris (dog). It matches the Rfam family "tRNA". From Rfam's summary of the family: Transfer RNA (tRNA) molecules are approximately 80 nucleotides in length. Their secondary structure includes four short double-helical elements and three loops (D, anti-codon, and T loops). The record is from Rfam by way of RNAcentral. RNAcentral also lists the same sequence under 1 other name. Lineage: Eukaryota; Metazoa; Chordata; Mammalia; Carnivora; Canidae.